This 353-nucleotide ribosomal RNA is filed under the name bacterium HC-2. Its description in RNAcentral is "bacterial SSU rRNA". It matches the Rfam family "Bacterial small subunit ribosomal RNA", at positions 56 to 413 of the family's 1533-position model. The record is from RNAcentral.
UGCAAGUCGAACGGUAACAGGAAGUGCUUGCACUUCGCUGACGAGUGGCGGACGGGUGAGUAAUACUUAGGGAUCUGCCUUUAGGAGGGGGAUAACCAUUGGAAACGAUGGCUAAUACCGCAUAAUGUCUACGGACCAAAGGGGGCUUCGGCUCUCACCUAGAGAGGAACCUAAGCGAGAUUAGCUAGUUGGUGGGGUAAAGGCUCACCAAGGCGACGAUCUCUAGCUGUUCUGAGAGGAAGAUCAGCCACACUGGGACUGAGACACGGCCCAGACUCCUACGGGAGGCAGCAGUGGGGAAUAUUGCACAAUGGGGGAAACCCUGAUGCAGCCAUGCCGCGUGUGUGAAGAAG